RNAcentral lists this unclassified non-coding RNA (2057 nucleotides) under Bactrocera tryoni. Its description in RNAcentral is "targeting protein for Xklp2, transcript variant X1". The record is from RNAcentral. Lineage: Eukaryota; Metazoa; Arthropoda; Insecta; Diptera; Tephritidae.
UAUUAACUAAUAAUUACGUAAAAGUUACGAAAAAUUAUUUAUUUUGUGUCCAUAUUUGCUUAAAUUAUGUAUGUGUGACUAAUCAUUGAGAUAGCCGUGAAAUGAGCGUAAUCGCCAUUUCGAAACCAAUUAAAAACAAUAACAACAACUGCAAAACGAGAAAUUACGAUAAAAGUCGAGAGUAUUUUCUUACCCGGUCGGUCAUAUCAGGAGAAGUGGUGCCAAUAAGUUUCGCUAGUUUUUUUUUAAUUAAUUUCAUUUUUAAUGUAAUUUCAUUGAUAAAUUUAGUUUUGAGCGUAAAACUCUAAUAAAAAAAUAGUAGGUUUUGUUUUUUUAAGUAAGACUAAUCACUUUGAAUACGGAAAAUGUAUUUAUUUUAAAAUAAUUUGGUUUUGAAAUCUGGCAGGACAGUUACGAAAAUGGUCAAAGCAGAAAGACAACAAAUUCCAAUUUCCAACUGUAAAAUGCAUAAGUGAUGAUUAGGAAGCAAAGAAGUGACUGAAAUAAUUUGACUUUUGUUCCUAUUUGAGCAUAUUUAAUUUUGUAUCAGAAACAAUUUAUUAUGCCUAAAAGUAAAAUUAGCACAAAUUUUGCUAAAGUGAAUAUUUGUCAUAAGUUAAGAGACUGUUGAAGCUGUUUCGGUGACAGCGGAACUGUAUCUCAAUUCCAACAAGUGCAUCGCCUACGUAACUACCCGUCUGCAAAAUAUACACUAUUGUUGUUCUGCCUUUGUAAUCUCUACUAGCCACACCUCAACUUUCAAGAAGUAUAAUUUUAAAUUGCACAACAUGGUGGAUCGUCUAGUAAAUUCUGAAGCUAAUUCAAGGCGAAUUGCUAUGGUCGAAAGCUGCUUUGGCAGCUCUGGUGUACCUUUAGCAAUUCCAGGACGCGUGCUUGUUGGCGAAGGUGUUUUAACUAAGAUGUGUCGCAAGCGGCCAAAGUCUCGACAGUUUUUCCUUUUCAACGAUAUAUUGGUAUAUGGUAAUAUCGUAAUAGGAAAGAAAAAAUAUAACAAACAACACAUUAUGCCAUUGGAAGAGGUAUCUUUGGAAUCUCUCGAGGAUAAUGGACAAUAUCGUAAUGGUUGGUUGAUACGAACCACAACAAAAUCGUUUGUUGUUUACGCCGCUACAAGUACUGAAAAACAAGAAUGGAUGGCACAUAUCAACAAGUGUGUGGAAGAUUUACUGCGAAAGAGCGGAAAAAAACCUGUGGAGAAUCACGCUGCUGUUUGGGUACCAGACGCCGAAGCCACCCACUGUAUGAAUUGCAAGAAAACACAAUUUACGAUGAUAGUUCGACGUCAUCAUUGUCGCAACUGCGGAGCAGUUGUAUGCGGACCGUGCUCAUCUAAAAAAUUUUUACUGCCUCAACAAAGCUCCAAACCUGUACGUGUUUGUACCGCUUGUUAUGAUCGUCUUUCUAAAGCGGUAAAAGCGGAAUCGUCCAAAACGAACCUUACAAAUGCUGGUGCAAAUUUAACAACACCAUCUUCCGCGAAUAUUGAUGGCAAUGGUAAUGGCACUGGAAAAAUGGUGGACAGUUCGGGUGAUGAUGAUUCGGAGGAAGAAGGCACUGGUGCAGCCAACGAAAUGCACGAUGAACCACGUUUCUACGGUGAUACAACAUUGUCGGCUGAUGAAUCUACGUCAUCUGCGGCGCUUAAUUCGAGUCACACACCUAGUGUUAAUAACUGAUGUGCGCAGUCUAAAUGUUUAGAGGGCGGGUUAUUUGACGCAGGUGGUGACGAACGCGGGAAUAUACACAGUCGAACUGUUACAAGAAGGAAAGGGUGUGACGAUAUGCAGCGAAAUAAAAAUAAACAAAAUUAUAAAAUUAAACAACGACAGCAAGAAGAAAAAACUGAAGUAAAUCAACCAGAACAUCAACCAGACGAAUGUGGAAAGAAGGUGUGGCAUUGCGUCUGGAAAAGAAAAGGAUUAACGAAGUUUUUUGAUCUUCAAAAGGGAGGAGGAAGAACGUAAGCGACGUGAGGAACAACGCAUCAAGGAGUUGCGAAAGCUCACCACGUUCAAAGCACGACCAAAUCCUUUUAA